GGGGGCGUAUCUGGGUCUCGACAGGAUCAUGUUUGAUUUGAACUGCAGUGGGGCGGCUUCCUAAGAGCCAAAACAAAAAUAACUGGCAACAAUAAGUUUGCUUUUGCCGCUUAAUUCACCAAUAAGCGUGACGCGGCUGGUUCACUUGUCCGGUCUCGGGAUAAGCUGAAUUAUCACAAACAGAGAAUAAGCGUACCCGCAUUCUUCGGUGCGUGUACGUCGAAAACCCUACGAAGGCCCGGUCAUUUACCUCCGUUUGUCAAGGGAUGGCCGGUACAUUGACGAACUAAACUGUAGACGUUCAAAUGUGGAACUUUUCUUGGACAGGGGUUCGAUUCCCCUCGCCUCCACCA
This 353-nucleotide transfer-messenger RNA is filed under the name Erysipelotrichaceae. RNAcentral describes it as "RUG11872 sp902782505 Standard tmRNA". It matches the Rfam family "transfer-messenger RNA". From Rfam's summary of the family: Bacterial tmRNA, also known as 10Sa RNA or SsrA, is named for its dual tRNA and mRNA-like properties. Its role is to liberate the mRNA from a stalled ribosome. The record is from RNAcentral. Lineage: Bacteria; Bacillati; Bacillota; Erysipelotrichia; Erysipelotrichales. RNAcentral also lists the same sequence under 1 other name.